Molecule: ribosomal RNA, 350 nt
Filed under: uncultured eukaryote
Lineage: Eukaryota
Description: SSU rRNA
Rfam family: Eukaryotic small subunit ribosomal RNA
Source: RNAcentral
CCAGCAGCUGCGGUAAUUCCAGCUCCAAUAGCGUAUAUUAAAGUUGUUGCAGUUAAAAAGCUCGUAGUUGAACUUCAGCCUUGGCCGGGCGGUCUGCCUCACGGUACGUACUGUCUGGCCGGGGCUUACCUUCUGGUGAGCUCGCAUGUCGUUCGCUCGGUGUGCGAGGGAACCAGGACUUUUACUUUGAGAAAAUUAGAGUGUUCAAAGCAGGCAAAUGCCCGAAUACAUUAGCAUGGAAUAAUGGAAUAGGACGUGCGGUUCUAUUUUGUUGGUUUCUAGAGUCGCCGUAAUGAUUAAUAGGGACAGUUGGGGGCAUUAGUAUUGAGUUGCUAGAGGUGAAAUUCUUG